This 873-nucleotide ribosomal RNA is filed under the name uncultured Bacteroidota bacterium. RNAcentral describes it as "bacterial SSU rRNA". It matches the Rfam family "Bacterial small subunit ribosomal RNA", at positions 1 to 865 of the family's 1533-position model. Lineage: Bacteria; Pseudomonadati; Bacteroidota. The record is from RNAcentral.
UGGAUCCAGACUUUGAUUUGGCUCAGGAUGAACGCUAGCUACAGGCUUAACACAUUGCAAGUCGAGGGGAAACGAUAGAGAAAGCUGCUUUUUCUAGGCGUCGACCGGCGCACGGGUGAGUAACGCGUAUCCAACCUGCCCAUCACUUGGGGAUAACCUUGCGAAAGUAAGACUAAUACCCAAUGACGUCUCUAGAAGACAUCUGAAAGAGAUUAAAGAUUUAUCGGUGAUGGAUGGGGAUGCGUCUGAUUAGCUUGUUGGCGGGGUAACGGCCCACCAAGGCGACGAUCAGUAGGGGUUCUGAGAGGAAGGUCCCCCACAUUGGAACUGAGACACGGUCCAAACUCCUACGGGAGGCAGCAGUGAGGAAUAUUGGUCAAUGGACGAGAGUCUGAACCAGCCAAGUAGCGUGCAGGAUGACGGCCCUAUGGGUUGUAAACUGCUUUUAUAAGGGAAUAAAGUGGGAGUCGUGACUCCUUUUGCAUGUACCUUAUGAAUAAGGACCGGCUAAUUCCGUGCCAGCAGCCGCGGUAAUACGGAAGGUCCGGGCGUUAUCCGGAUUUAUUGGGUUUAAAGGGAGCGUAGGCCGGAGAUUAAGCGUGUUGUGAAAUGUAGACGCUCAACGUCUGCACUGCAGCGCGAACUGGUUUCCUUGAGUACGCACAAAGUGGGCGGAAUUCGUGGUGUAGCGGUGAAAUGCUUAGAUAUCACGAAGAACUCCGAUUGCGAAGGCAGCUCACUGGAGCGCAACUGACGCUGAAGCUCGAAAGUGCGGGUAUCGAACAGGAUUAGAUACCCUGGUAGUCCGCACGGUAAACGAUGGAUGCCCGCUGUUGGUCUGAAUAGGUCAGCGGCCAAGCGAAAGCAUUAAGC